This is a long non-coding RNA of Equus caballus (horse), 4206 nucleotides long. NCBI's taxonomy places the organism in Eukaryota, Metazoa, Chordata, Mammalia, Perissodactyla, Equidae. The record is from Ensembl.
UUUAUCUUCAGUGGAAAUAUACAACUAUAGGAAGGAUUAUUCUCAGCAUUUAAUUCUCAUAAUAACAAUACUAGUAGCAGCAGUCAAUACUUCUAUAAUGCAUACCAUGUGCCAGACACUAUCCUAAGACUGUAUGUUAUAUAUGUAUGAGGUUUAUCCUCCUCAUAAACCUAUGAGAUAAGCCUUAUUAUUAUUCUCAUAUUACAAAUGAGAAAACUGAGGCACUGAGAGGUUAAGCAUAAUAACCCAAGGUCACGCAAUCAGUAAUUGUUGAUGCCACUGGCUGAGUUAAUGCUGGAACUUUAGAGUAGGCAAGUUAAAUAAUGUCUUGCAGAUUGGCCUUAAAAUGAGCAAAAUUUAAUUAAUGCCUUAUAAAGUCCCAGAAAGCAAAGGAACAUUUUGUAUUGAAUGUGAACUACUAAGGCACGUAUCCGUAACUAAGUAUGAUUGAUUCCUAUGGAAUGAAGUUAUUUCUCAUUACUCUGGUCUUUUGAAAGAGAAAUAUUGUUUUAGUGUUUCACAUUUUUUUCAUUCAUUCACAUAUUUCCUCAUUUAUUCAAUAUACAUGUCCGGAGCACCUUCCAUGUUGAAAGCCCUGGAAGAUUCAGUGAUGAACAAGAGAGCAUAGAGCCCUUGCUCUUAAACAAAUGCCCCAGAGGUGGGGGGAGGCAGAGUAACCACGUAAACAGAUUUCACAUGGUGACAGAAAUCCAACUGGACAAUGGCAUAGGGAGGCACUGAGGAGGCAGGUCUCUUUGUCCAAGAUAGUAGUGGCGACGUUUGAACUGACACUUGAGGAUCAGAGGGAAACUGGUCUAGGUAGAAGAAUCAGCAGAUGCCGAGCUGUGAGACAGCAACAAGCCAAGCUUGUCACCUCGGACGGCAAGAAAAGGGCAAAUGUGCCCAGAACUGGGUGAGGGUCGUGGGAAGGUAUAGGAAGUGGCCAGAGCACAUGGUGCCUGCAAGCCUUGCUAAGGAUUUUAUAUUUUAGUCUCUUCACAACCAAUUGCCUUUAGCGGUUAGAAGCAGGCCAAUGAUAUCUGAUUUGUCCUUUUUAAAAGAUCACCUUGACUGUUGAGUCUCUUACAAGCACAAAAGAGCUAUGCCUCUACGAAGUAUGGACAAUAAAUUUUAAAAAGCCCAACGAGCUCAUAAAUAGUUGGUUCACUAAUUAUCAUCAUUAGUCUCAACCAGACUGGAUUAAUAUAAUUAUAAUUAAUAUAAGCUUGGUGACUCUGGGGUCCUGGGACAUAUUAGAUUAGGGAAACCCAACUAUUUGCAAAUAGUGUGAUUUGAAAAAUUCUCAAACUUGUUGGGGUUCAUGAAUAUUACUUUAUUACUGGGGGCUGCAUGAGAGGGUUAGAGUAAGAAAAGAGGAUAUGAUAGUUGGAUCUUCUGCCUAUUUGCCCUGUCUGUGGGAGAAGCCAUGGGAGGGGGGUGACUACUCUACCGCUGACAAAGUGCUUAAAUUUCAGAACUAGUUCAAUCCAGUGAGUAUUUGCUGAAAAACUACUAUACGUUGGACACCUAGCUGAGACUGCGAAUACAAAGUGAACAAUUAAUCAGAGCAGCUAUUACUAAUAGGAGCCGGCACUGUGCAAAUGCUUAACAUGCACCAUCUCAUGUUCCAUUAAUCUACACAUCAACUCUAUGGGGUCAGUUCAUUUAUUAUCCCAUUUUCCAGAUGAGAAAUCUGAUGUUUUUAAGAGGCUUUGGUGAUUUCUCCAACGUUCUCUACACAGCUGGUCAGGGUGUAGGCAGUAUUUGGACUCAGAAGAUCUGAUAUCAGAGCCAACUCUCUUAACCAUUAUACUCGACUGUCUGCAAGGACCCUACUUGAGAAGUUCAAAAUUAUACAUAUAUCGGUACAAGCGACCCUAAGACUGCCUGGCACAAACUAACUGCUUGAGAGGGCCUGGGUUUAUGUAAGAGGCGCUUGGAGUGGUGAAGACUGUGAGAGUCACAAAAAUGUGUUCUCUGUACCAAAGGGCAACAGAAAUAAGAAAGAAUUAGCGUAGGGCAGUGAGGUCGGCAAACAGCAUGAUGUUGAGGACCAAGAAGCAGCAUUUCUUUUUUUUCUUAUAAUUAUUACAUUAUGUCUACUUCACAGUUAUCAGAAAGAAGUCAUAGUAUAGUAAACAGUGUAGACACACCUAUCCUUGAAUCCUGGCAGAGGCAGAGUAUAUAAUGCAAGACUGGCACCUAGGUGUAGUUAAAUAAGCUUUCAUUUUUCUUUAGCCUUCAAGCAAAACAGUUUUCUGAUAUGCAUAAUUCAGAAAAAUCGAGAAAAUAUUUAAAGCACGCUAUCUCAGAGGAAAGCAAUUUUGCAAAAGAUCUACCAGCAGAAGCAAGUCCAACCACACCAAUGGUUUAGUGAGAUUUGUACUGAUAUGGCAUCAUAUCUCAUGUUGUUUCUUUAUGCAUUUUUCUGGAAAAAGGCUCACAGAGUUCAUAAUUUGCAGAGAUAAAGACUCACACUGACGUGGCAGAAAGAGCUUUGCUCUGGAUUUAGAUCAGUUUAGGUUUUGCUAUGUACUAGAAUUAGGUAACAUUCAUAAUCUUUCUGAGCCUGUUUCCUAUCUGCAAACAGGAGUAACACUACUACAGAGGGAUUGUUUAAAUUAAAGGGCACGUACAAAUGCUAUAUAUCCUUCCAGGCUGCGAGAAAAUGCCUCGUAAAGGGUAAGUGAUCUACAUACACUCUGCUUCCUUGAAACCGAUGAAAGCUGUUCUCAUGUUCUUCACCCUAUUUCUCAGCCAAUGGUCUAAAUAUGAAGGCAAUGUUUAGUUAAAAAUUCUUUCCAUUCUUUCACUGUCCAUCUGCAUUUCCAACAUAUUCUUGACGAAUCAAGUCUCAAUAUUAGUAAUAAUUAUCACUUAAGCUAUUACUGUUCACAUGUUUAAGAUAUUUCCAUGUGAGAUAAAUCAUUAUUCAGACAGAUGGCUAAGCUGGUUUUGUCAAAGAUUUCAAUGAGAUAUAAAUACAUCUUAAUCAGAGUUAACUUUCAAAGAAGAGGAGAGCAAUGAUUCAAGAUGUGGAUAGAAAAACCUUUUGUACAAAAUGUUAUCAAAUAUAUUAAAUCCCUGGAAAAUUAUCUGUGGUGCCAUUUGGGUUUCUAGUUUAUAAAGUACAGCUUCCCUAAAACUAAACUAUUAUCAUUUCUACCCAUCUUCUGUUUUAAUACCCUCAAAACAUGGCUUUUAAUUAACAGUUAAGCUAACUGCUAUUACAUUCAUUCUUCUUUCCUCUUUCUCUGAUUAUAACAAGUAUCACUUGACUCACGAUGAAAUGGGCUUUCUGAAUAUGAGGAAGGGGUCGAGGAGGAAAAUAGGAUACGUAGGGUACAAUGGUCACACAUAGAGUUAGUGGAAGCUUUAGCAGUAACAAAACUAGUGAAAUUAGAGUUAGUUAAUUAGUAGUCAGGAAAAUUUUGUCAUGUAUUACCAUUAAUUGGCCAACUAGACUAAUUAGGCUCACAAACAAUAAAAAGCAAAGAAUGGAAAAUCUAUUGUUUUUGCCAGCUUCCUCUGCUAGUUAUCAGAGCAAUUUUCUCCUAGUUUAUGAGACAAUAACAAUCUAGUGUUCAAAUUUAAACAUUAUCACUAUAAGAUAUGGAGAUAUGUGAAACUUACUAUACUUUCUUCAUAAAUCUAGUAUUAUAGUAUCAUAAAUUCCACAGUAAAAACAACUUAGGAGAAAUGUAAAAUUUGUGCAAACUACAAUAAUUUUUUUAAACUUUGAAAAAAUUAAAAAAGAUUGCUGACUACACCUUGGCACCCUUUCCUUUGUAGACUAUGUUAGAGCCAGGCUUUCCUUGACUGAGAGCUACUGUACUACAGCGAAAGCCUCUAUUCAUAUUCAUAAUCAUCAGGCAAAUCAGGGAGCUGACUUGCUUAGAAUCAGACCUGGGAGCCAUCUGUUUGAAAUGUAAUCAAGAAAGAUAGGACCCCCGUUCUCUGUGGGAGGUAUUGAGUGAUGAUCAGUUGCAUGACUAACUAGAGACGAAGCUGCUCAAACAUUGUUUAACCCACGAGAAGUCUUUUAUAUGACACAGCAGCUCAAACAACUGUGAUUUUCCUGUUUUAAAAAUGAAGAUACAACUCACAGAGGUUAAGUAACUUGAGAUUCAAACCAGGUGGAAUUUAAAGCCCAGAUUCACUUCCUGAAAGGCAGGACUUGGACACAAGUGGUAACUAAACAGCGCC